Molecule: long non-coding RNA, 1267 nt
Organism: Helianthus annuus (common sunflower)
Lineage: Eukaryota; Viridiplantae; Streptophyta; Magnoliopsida; Asterales; Asteraceae
Exons: 3
Source: RefSeq, a predicted model, not a curated record
GGUAAAUAGUUCGAAAAUGUUGUGUCACUAUUAUAUUAAGUAAGAUGGCUUUGGACAACUGGAAGAGACUUUACUCCAACACCAAAACUAACUUCCAUGAGGUUGCGAUCAAAGCUAUAAUAUUUUUAACUGUCAAAACGACUGAGGAUGAAGGAACACAAAGUUCUCUUAAUUGUUUUUGGAAUUGGUUUAGUUUUCGAUUGAUUGGUGGCAGGCUGGAAUCAUCCUCUACUACAUGCUUACCGACGGAUUUUCUGAUCAAUUAGCAAAAUUAGUUUAGUCGGUGGUCUAAAUGUCAACUACCAAUCAAGGCACUGGCGAACGUACGUUUCUGGAUCCACUUUGUGGCGAAGGCUACCCGUUAGAUGGGACAAGAUUGUGAUAGUGGUGAUGAAUGAGGUUCAUUUUAGCACAGUCCAUAUCUAGCUGAAUCUGUUACUAGAGGAACUCCUGCUGUGAAUGAGCGGGUCAGGAAAGUCAGCUUAGACCAAGUUGCUCAACUUCCAAGCCUAUUAUGUAUCUGGUUAUGACUUGAGCAUUGAUAUAGAUCCAACAAUGGAAGACAGUUACGUUUUUCGUAUUUAGUAUUUAGUAUGAUAGUUUCGGUUCUUACCACUUGAUAUUUGUUUGCCUUGUGUUACAUUGUUAGUGCCAAACAUAUGAACAUCGCCAGGCUUAUAGCUGUUUUAACUUAAAAAUUAGAGUACGAUGCCAUUUUCGUCCCUGAGGUUUUGGCCACUUUUGUGACUUUCGACCAAAGGUUUGUUUUUCCGCAUCUGGAUCCAAAAGGUUUGAAAUCUUGCCAUUUUUCAUCCGACUCAUUAACUCCAUCCGUUUUUCUCCGUUAAAUGAGGGGCAUUUCUGUCUUUUUAUGCAUUUUUUGUUAAAAUAAAACACUAUAAGAAAUAAAUAUCUACCUCUGUUUACUUUCUCCCCACCCAAACCUAUUAAUCAUCAUAAAAAUGUCUAAAAAGACAAAUACCCCCGACCUAACGUUAAAAAAUGGAUGGAGUAACGAGUCGGAUGAAAAUGCCAACAUUUCAGACCUUUGGGAUCUAGAUGCGGAAAAUAAACCUUUGGACGAAAGUCGCAAAACAAAAGCCAAACCUCAGGGACGACAAUGGCAUUUUACUCUAAAAGUUAUAUGCACAUUAGCUUCAACAAGUGGUUGGGUCAAAAUGGUCACCUUUAACGUACACGUUAGGUUGUCCAAAAACACUUUUUAUCCAAAAAUAUUGCAUCUUUUUGUAAGUAGUGCGUUUAAAGU